GUGGUUGAGGUAGUACAUUUACUAAAAUUUGGAAUGAUACAGAUUAGAUUAACAUGGCCUCCGUUCCAGAAUGGCAAACAAACUUUUGAAUUGCUCCAUAUUUUA
Small nuclear RNA from Jaculus jaculus (lesser Egyptian jerboa), 105 nucleotides. NCBI's taxonomy places the organism in Eukaryota, Metazoa, Chordata, Mammalia, Rodentia, Dipodidae. The record is from RefSeq and is a predicted model, not a curated record.